RNAcentral lists this long non-coding RNA (2507 nucleotides) under Homo sapiens (human). RNAcentral describes it as "HSALNT0300441". The record is from RNAcentral. Lineage: Eukaryota; Metazoa; Chordata; Mammalia; Primates; Hominidae.
UGAGGAACAGGUGGAGGGGAAGCCGGCAGAGGGGGCUGAGCAAGAAACCCUGAGACAUGGGGAGGACAAGGCUCUGUCCAGUACCGUAGAAGCCGCAGGAGGAGAGCUUCAGGCCAGGGCAAGCAGCCGAGUCAGAGCAGGGCGGAGGAGUGCCCACUGGACUCAAGUGUUAGCUGCUAUUUUAACUCCUCCUGGCCUCUUCGCACACGGGGCAGGCUACUGACCUCUUGGACCACUCGGAAGCCUCGCAUUUUCCUGACUCCUGCCUCGGAAAGCUCUGCAUGCCUUCCUCUCCUCUCUUCCUCAGUACGGAGCACCAUGCCUCGACUGCCAUGACGAAAUACCACAGACUGGGUGGCUUCAACAACAGAAAGUUAUUUCUCAGAGUUCCGAAGGCUGGAAGUUCAAGAUCAAGGCACUGCUGGCUGAUUCCUUUUCUGGCACGGCUUUGGUUUCCUGCUGCAGCUGCUGCUGGGGAGUUAUCAGGGCAUUUCCUCCGCCUGUGAGCUCCUGGGGUCAGGGGAAGGUUGGGUGGCCAGAGAUGCUGCCUCUACCCUAAGUCAGCGUCACCCAUGCUAUUCCCAGCAGCUGCAUUUCUCCACUCUGUAAUUACAAAUGAAACUGGGGAAUAGAAUCAAAAGAGUACCUAGAAACAAGCUAGCCUCUACUUCCUCAAACAUUCUGGGGCAGGAGUUUGUGCGCUGGAACAAUGUUAUUUGCAAGAUUCUCCCUGGUGGAUAUACACUCAAGUAUUAAAGUGCUACAAGGAAUUAAAAAAAGAAUAGUAUUUCUUCCAGAGCCUGUGUGGGCCCAGCACAAUGACACUGAAUCUGGCUGUUAAACCUGGCUGUUGCUGAUUCUAAUAUGUGGCCUUGGACAUUUCAUUUUUCCAAGUAUAGCUUUCCUCAUCUGUAAAAUAUGGAAACAAUCUUUAGAAUGUCGGAGAUAGUGUAUGUAAAGGUACUUCAGAAACAAUAAAGUCCAAAUCCCAAUGACAUUUUUUGCAGAAAUAGAAAAACCCAUCCUAAAAUUCAUAUGGAAUCUCAAGGGGCCCUGAACAGCCAAAACAAUCUUGAAAAAGAACAAGGCUGGAGGACUCACACUUCCUGAUUUCAAAACUUACCACAAAGCUACAGUAAUCAAAACAGUGUGGCACUGGAAUAAAGCUUGACAUAUAGAUCAAUAGAAUAGAAUAGAGAGCCCAGAAACAAACCCUUGAAUAUAUGGUCAAAUGAUUUUUGGCAAGGGUGCCAUGAUCACUUAAUGGCAAAAGGACAGCUUUUUCAACAAAUGGUGCUGGGAAAACUGGAUAUCUACAUGCAAAAGAAUGAAGCUGGACCCUUACCUAACACCAUAUACAAAAAUUAACUCAAAAUAGAUCAAAGACCUAAAAGUAACCUAAAACUAUAGAAUUUUUAGAAGAAAACUUGGAGCAAAAUCUCCACAAUGUUGGAUUUGGCAGUGAUUUCUUGGAUAUGACAUUAAAGACACAGACAACACAGAAAAAUAGACAAAUUGGAUUUCAUAAAAAUUUGGUGCAUCAAAAAGCAAAAUCGGGCUGGUGCGGUGUCUCACGCCUGUAAUCCCAGCACUUUGGGAGGCUGCGGUGGGAAGAUCACUUGAGGUCAGGAGUUGGAGGCCAGCCUGGCCAACAUGGUGAAACCCCGUCUCUACUAAAAAUACAAAAAUUAGCCAGACCUGGUGGCGCACGCCUGUAGUUCCACCUACUCGGGAGGCUGAGGCAGGAGAAUGGCGUGAACCCACGAGGCAGAGCUUGCAGUGAGCCGAGAUCACACCACUGCACUCCAGCCUGGGUGACAGAGCAAGACUCCGUCUCAAAAACAACAACAACAACAACAACAACAACAACAACAACAACAACAACAAAGUGCUGGCGGUGAGGAUGUGAAGAAAUUGGAACCCUGUGCACUGUUUGGCAGAAUGUAGAAUGGUACACUGUGGAAAGUAUUAUUAUGAUGCUUCUUCAAAAAAUUAAAAAUAGAAUGACCACAUAAUCCAGCAAUUCCACUUCUGGGUAUAUACCCAAAACAACUGAAAAUAAGAUCUUGAAAAGAUAUUUGUGCACCCAUGUUCGUCGCAGCAUUAUUCAUAAUUGCUAAAAUGUGGAUGCAACCCAAUGAUUUCUUGACAAACGAGUGGGUAAACACAAUGUGGUAUACACACACAUGGAAAUAUUACUCAGCCUUAAAAAGGAAGGAAAUUUGGACAUACACUACAUCAUAGAUGAAUCUUGAGGACAUUAUGCUAAGUGAAAUAAUCCAGUUGCAAAAAGGAAAUACUGUAUGAUUCCACUUAUGUAAGGUAUUAGAGAGGUAGUCAUUAUUUAAUGGGUAUAGAGUUUCAGUUUUACAAGAUGAAAAGAGUUCUGGAGAUGGAUGGUGGUGCUGGUUGCACAUCAUUAAUGUAUUUAAUACCACUGAGCUGUUCACUUUAAAAGGAUUAAGAUGAUAAAUUUUAUGUUAUGUGUAUAUUAUAAUAAAAGUUAG